Molecule: long non-coding RNA, 1104 nt
Organism: Myotis lucifugus (little brown bat)
Lineage: Eukaryota; Metazoa; Chordata; Mammalia; Chiroptera; Vespertilionidae
Exons: 2
Source: RefSeq, a predicted model, not a curated record
CCGGUGGUUUCUUUUUCCUUUUCCUGAGGAUGGAGGGUUAUUUUUUUCUGCUGGUGCGCCCAGGGCGUGGGGAACAGUGUGUGCUCAGGGCGAACCCCUUGCAUUUCCCCGAGGUGCUUUGCUCAGUUGCUCGCGAACUUUUAAUUUUUUCCAGGCUUGUGUGUUUUGUCCAGAUCCGCUUCUCUGGAGCUGGGCUGGCCUCUUUGUUUUGGGGAAGCUUAUUGCUGCACAGUAAGACCAUCUGACAGUUGUUAUCUGCGACCUGAGAGCCAGAGCUGCCAGCGACGAGAGCCAGAGGCAGCGAUGAGCUGCUCUCCUCGCAGACCUCCCGGCUCCCGGCCCCCAGCGCCAUCUGGGACCACCCGAGGACGAGACCAGCGUGAACCAAAUGUUCACUUGUUCACGGGAGGAUGGAAAAUCUCUCCGCCCACCAAGGCCGCCCGGUCUGUCCCGAGUCCCUGACAAUGAUGAGGACAUGCAGGCCCAGAUGGAAAGUGUCAAAGGUGAGGUUGUUUAAGACCAGCCUACUUUCUACCAUCCAGUGCUGCCAGAAGAAGAUCAGAAGUGCCUGGAAAGUAGCCAAACCCCACUUGUCAAAUGUCUUGAACAAUUUCCUCAAAGCUCUUACUUCAGGUCAACUUGACCCAAACGACAGGAACUGUGUAUUGCCCUCCUAUCAAGGAUGAGAGGAAGUUCCCACGUUGCCCUUGACCAGCAGACAUCACCACGACACUGAUUUCAGCUUCUCUACUCGUACGUGGACGAAGUUGCAGGGAAGCAGUGGUCCAGGACUGGGGCCUUGGGAUGGCAGGUGUGAGUUUGCAGUGUUUUACCUUCCUAUCUGUUGGUGAGGAAAAGCAGUUGAUCUUAAUGGGCUUUGGGACACAGGGAUCCUGUUGAAGCUGCCCUGUUCUUAUACCUUCCUACAAGCCAGCACACCAAAGGUCAGAAGAAAUGGGAAGCAGCCAACAGGGGCAUUGGGUUGACCAGCUGUUGCCAUUCUUUGUUCACAAAGCUGCUAGUGAUCGGGUUUGUUAUGUAUUUAAUAAAAAGGAAGGCAGGAAUAUGAAAUAAUGCAGAAUAAAUCAGUCAUUCAUAAAUAGG